AUUGAACGCUGGCGGAAUGCUUUACACAUGCAAGUCGAACGGUAGAGGGGGCAACCCCUUGAGAGUGGCGAACGGGUGAGUAAUAUAUCGGAACGUGCCCAGUCGUGGGGGAUAACGUAGUGAAAAUUACGCUAAUACCGCAUACGAUCUAAGGAUGAAAGCGGGGGAUCGCAAGACCUCGCGCGACUGGAGCGGCCGAUAUCAGAUUAGGUAGUUGGUAGGGUAAAGGCCUACCAAGCCAACGAUCUGUAGCUGGUCUGAGAGGACGACCAGCCACACUGGAACUGAGACACGGUCCAGACUCCUACGGGAGGCAGCAGUGGGGAAUUUUGGACAAUGGGCGAAAGCCUGAUCCAGCCAUUCCGCGUGCAGGAUGAAGGCCCUCGGGUUGUAAACUGCUUUUGUACAGAACGAAAAGGUUUCUAUUAAUACUAGGAGCUCAUGACGGUACUGUAAGAAUAAGCACCGGCUAACUACGUGCCAGCAGCCGCGGUAAUACGUAGGGUGCAAGCGUUAAUCGGAAUUACUGGGCGUAAAGCGUGCGCAGGCGGUUAUAUAAGUCAGAUGUGAAAUCCCCGGGCUCAACCUGGGAACUGCAUUUGAGACUGUAUAGCUAGAGUACGGUAGAGGGGGAUGGAAUUCCGCGUGUAGCAGUGAAAUGCGUAGAUAUGCGGAGGAACACCGAUGGCGAAGGCAAUCCCCUGGAC
Molecule: ribosomal RNA, 707 nt
Filed under: Pseudomonadota bacterium
Lineage: Bacteria; Pseudomonadati; Pseudomonadota
Description: bacterial SSU rRNA
Rfam family: Bacterial small subunit ribosomal RNA
Source: RNAcentral